This 85-nucleotide non-coding RNA is filed under the name Platyophrya macrostoma. Lineage: Eukaryota; Ciliophora; Colpodea; Cyrtolophosidida; Platyophryidae. The record is from RNAcentral.
AAAGAAACAAGCAAUGCAAAAAAAAAAUGAAAUGACCCUUUUGGUUUUCCCCUCCUCACGUUUCUUUCUUAUUCUCUUUUUUUUU